Long non-coding RNA from Vicia villosa (hairy vetch), 2249 nucleotides. RefSeq lists it as uncharacterized. The record is from RefSeq and is a predicted model, not a curated record. Lineage: Eukaryota; Viridiplantae; Streptophyta; Magnoliopsida; Fabales; Fabaceae. The transcript has 6 exons.
UCUUUAUACUUUCAGUUCUGAGCAUCCUCUCUCCAUUUUGAACCUCAACAAAAACCAAACCCGUUCACUUUUCCCUCUUCUAUCUCCAUGUCUCUCAUUCUCUAUCUUCCAGACAACCUUUCCUUUCUCUCUAUCGUCGCCUCUCUUUUCCCCAAACCCCCAAAACCCUAGAUUGCAGUCUCCCCCUUCCUUCUUCUAAAUCAAAUCGAACCGGCCUAUCAUCCUAAACCCUUCUUUUUCUCACUCUCAUUUAAAUCGUUUCAUUUCUCUCUCUGUAAUCAACUUACACUUCUAUCGUUUAUUCCAAAUCUUGGCGCUCCUAUUGCUCUGAAGUGAAAUAGUUGUUCAAGAAGCUUGGUGUACAGCCGUCAGUCUUCGAAAUGGAUACAAUGGGUAUUUCAACUUCAAACCCUAACUAUUGCUUGCGAAUUUGUCACACUCUCUCGCAACUGCAUUUACCGGGUCCACAGAGUCCACUAUUGCACAAGUUGUUGGAAAGACUCACUGGGCAAUACACUGUCCCAAAUGUAUUUGUUGAACAAAAUAUGGAGUGAGAAUACAAUUGUUCUCAAUAUCUUUAUUUAUUUGAACAAAUGACCACAAAGUUGCUGAUAACAUCAUUCCUGUCAAAAUUGACAACUUCAACUGAGAGGGUGUCGGGCCUAGCAUAGCUCUAGGUUUUUCCGUUUACGAGAGCUUAUGUUCUUCUUGGAAGUCUCAAAGGUCUGUCAGUUGCUAUGGAGCUAUCACGAUUUGUUGCUGACUCAAAAUUAGUGAAAUUACCAGAAAUGCGAGUAAGUUUCAGGAUUAAGUUUCGAGAUUAGGUUUUAGGAUUAUAUAUAUUUGUUUGUCGUAACUUAUAAUCAUCAUGAUUUACUCAUAUUUUUACUACUGUUAACUCAACUCUACCUAUAUCCCUCUAUGUAUGCUUCAAUUUCAGGAUUAUCAUGUCUGUCAAACGCAUGGAAUGGCUCAAAACUUCUCAUUAAUUUAGACCAUUAACAGGUUAAGGAUUUUAAAUCCAAGUAAGACACUUUUUGGUGAUUUGUGUUGAUUUAACAAUUUGGAGGAGCACUAAUUUUCAGAUUAGGAUCAUCAGAACUCUCCAAUGCACCCUCCUAUUCUCUAACCCAAACUUCUGAGUCAUUUGUUUUUUUGACUUACUACUACUUCCAGCUUAAUUCUUGCGCCUAUGCUAAGACUCUAUUUUGCAUAUUCUGAUUUUUGUCAUAUGCUGCAGUCGAGGAAAAAAACUUCAUUAACAUAUCACUUUUGCCACAAGCCAUCAUGUUCUCACAUUAAACAAGGAAGAAAGGCUACUUUGCUACAACAUACUAAACUUCAUAUUUUUCGGUUACCACUACCACUUCCAUUACUUAGGCUGCAUUAUCAUUACAAACUAUGCUUAGGAUGAAAAGAAUAAAAGUUCGUUCGAGAGGUGGGGGCAGCUGUCGGCUGCAUUUGUUCUGUAGAAGCGUUGUCCAAAUGGCUGUCCCGAUCGGUCUUUAGACUUUGUGAUAUAACUGUUGGAUAGCUUUCAAGCCCCGGUAUGCAGGGAGUUGUAAAUCUUAGAGGUUGAUCUGGCUGCUGUCAAGCUUUCUUAACAGAGGGCAUUUCCCUCUUCUUUCCCAUUUUGGAGCUGUUGCUGUAUUAUCUUUGAAUUUUCAGAAAUCAAGUUUGCUUUACCGACCUUCGUGUGUUCCGGGGUGCUGUUUUUCAAGGGCUCUGCUUGCAAAGCAGUGUGUGGAUAGCUUCUCGUCUGGUUGCUCGUAUCGGCCGCGUGUUUUGGAGGCAUGUUCUAAUGGCGUUAGCAGAUAUUGAUCUAAGGUGUGGCGGUGCCGUUGGGUUUUCAGACAAUCUGUUAUGGUGUUUAGUCUCUCAUUUUGGACAGGGUUGUUGGUGUUUCUCUGCAGAAAAUUAGAUGUAACAAGUUGUUAGUUGAAUUGGUUUUACUUUGGUUACAUUGAGUUAUAAGUCCAAGUAUGUAGGAGUUUUAGCUUAUGCAAUAUGCUUUUUCUGGUAUCGGUGUGGUGAACUGCUGUUAGUUAGCAGUUAGCAGGAAAUUUUGUUAUUUUGGUAUCUCUUAUACCAUUUGGUUAAUAUAAUUCUUUAUGUUGGCCUUUAAAAAAAAAAGUAACUACACCUGCAUUGUGUCAACUAAUUAAAAGCAUUGUGUAUUCCAGUAUAAUUAAAGGGCAAGUAUGGUUAAUGAAAUAAUAUCAUUACCAAAAAAAUAAAAAAUAAUAUGA